GACGAACGCUGGCGGCGUGCUUAACACAUGCAAGUCGAGCGGUAAGGCCUUUCGGGGUACACGAGCGGCGAACGGGUGCGUAACACGUGGGUGAUCUGCCCUGCACUUCGGGAUAAGCCUGGGAAACUGGGUCUAAUACCGGAUAUGACCUCCUAUCGCAUGGUGGGUGGUGGAAAGAUUUAUCGGUGCAGGAUGGGCCCGCGGCCUAUCAGCUUGUUGGUGGGGUAAUGGCCUACCAAGGCGACGACGGGUAGCCGACCUGAGAGGGUGACCGGCCACACUGGGACUGAGACACGGCCCAGACGCCUACGGGAGGCAGCAGUGGGGAAUAUUGCACAAUGGGCGAAAGCCUGAUGCAGCGACGCUGCGUGAGGGAUGACGGCCUUCGGGUUGUAAACCUCUUUCAGCAGGGACGAAGCGCAAGUGACGGUACCUGCAGAAGAAGCACCGGCUAACUACGUG
This 462-nucleotide ribosomal RNA is filed under the name uncultured bacterium. RNAcentral describes it as "partial 16S ribosomal RNA". It matches the Rfam family "Bacterial small subunit ribosomal RNA", at positions 28 to 507 of the family's 1533-position model. The record is from RNAcentral.